CCCACCAUGGUUCAGGUGUAGUGAACAGGUAGGUGACCCACCAUGGUUCAGGUGUAGUGAACAGGUAGGUGACCCACCAUGGUCCAGGUGUAGUGAACAGGUAGGUGACCCACCAUGGUUCAGGUGUAGUGAACAGGUAGGUGACCCACCGUGGUUCAGGUGUAGUGAACAGGUAGGUGACCCACCAUGGUUCAGGUGUAGUGAACAGGUAGGUGACCCACCGUGGUUCAGG
Molecule: long non-coding RNA, 232 nt
Organism: Oncorhynchus keta (chum salmon)
Lineage: Eukaryota; Metazoa; Chordata; Actinopteri; Salmoniformes; Salmonidae
Exons: 3
Source: RefSeq, a predicted model, not a curated record